This 85-nucleotide transfer RNA is filed under the name Methanoregula boonei 6A8. Its description in RNAcentral is "tRNA-Leu (TAG) (tRNA-Leu-TAG-1-1)". It matches the Rfam family "tRNA". From Rfam's summary of the family: Transfer RNA (tRNA) molecules are approximately 80 nucleotides in length. The record is from Rfam by way of RNAcentral. Lineage: Archaea; Methanobacteriati; Methanobacteriota; Methanomicrobia; Methanomicrobiales; Methanoregulaceae.
GCGAGGAUCGCCGAGCUUGGUCAAAGGCGCUGGAUUUAGGGUCCAGUCCCGCAGGGGUUCGCCGGUUCGAAUCCGGCUCCUCGCA